GUGACAUCAUCAAUGUAUAAUACAGGUCAAAUUGUUACGAGUUUUAGUUAAAAUUACUAUAGUUCCCUUUUUCAGUGUUAAAGGACAGUUAAAAUAAACCAAAGCAAUUGAAAAUCUCACAAAGAUCAAAAAGAUAUAUAUAUAUUUUUUUAUAAAUAAUCCAAAUACUUUGUUUUAUGCUAAAUAUUUUAGAAAUGUUAUUUUAUAACAACACAAUUUCUUACAGGAUGUUUAAAAAUAUUUUUAAAGUAUUUCUCUUUCUCCCACAAUUUGGGUCUGAUGUUCAUCAGGUAAGUUGAUAAAGAACAGAAAUCUAAUGUAUAGCAAUGUCCAGGUAGCAAUUGGUGUUACCUGCCUUGCUCAGGGACAAAAAGACGGAAUUUUCACCUUGCUGGCUCCAAGAUUUGAUCAAGCCAACUAUUGUUUACUGGCCAGACGCUCUAAAAAAUAGGUUACCUGCCACUCCCUAGUCUAUACACCACUCCUCAAUACAGACCCUUGAUGGCCUUGAUUCUGGUCUUCUGGACUGCCCCUUUGAAUUCAAAACACAGGUUUUCAAUAAAGUUUUAGCCCAGAAACCGAGAUUGCCAUUGCACAAUAUCAAUUAUUUAUGUCAACGAAACAUUUCCAUCCAUUUGUGGAUUUUGAUGUGUGCUUGGUGUCAUGGUUUUUCUGAAUCCUCCAACUUUUAUCCUCCUACUGGAUGCAACUUAAAUUUUUGGGGGCCAAAAUGUUCUGGUAAUUGGUAGAGUUUAUUAUGCCUUUGACCUUAACUUACAAGAAGUGCCUGGGGUUUGCAAAAUGGUAUUGCCACUUAUAUUGGAAGCAGGUGCUAUGGUCAGAUGAGACAGAAAUAUAGCACUUCAGCUAUGCACACAAGUGGGUGCUUUGGCCUGGAAAGAAAGAUGCAAAACCCUCAUAUCUACUGAAAAAUAUGGUGGUAGAUCUUUGGGCAAUUUUGCUUCCACUGGUCCAAUUAGAAAACUCCCUGUGUUUAUAUUUGUUCAUUGCUCUCAAUAACAUUUCCAAUCUAGCCCGCAUUCUAUGGCCUAGCCAUCCCAAGCUUCCAAUUGGCAAAUUUAGUCCCUCUCCAUGCAACAAUUUCCCAGGUCAUUGCUGUAAAUGAGAAUAUGUUCUCAGUUGACAUACCAUGCUAAAGUAACAAUAAAUAAAUAAUAAAAGUAUUUUUUCAUGGCAACCUUUUCUGAUAGCGUAUUAGCAUUGAGCCAUAAUAACAGUUGUUUUUAAGACUUGGUGAUGUGACCAAUUUCUGUUAUAACUACUGCACUUAGACAUAUUGUACCGCUCCUCCAGUGGUUUUAAACAUGUUUAUAAGUAGCACCUAAUAGUAGCUAAUAGUGUUACACGUUUUAUUUUGUUUUUCAGCUGUUUGUUGUUAUUUCUGGAAGUCCUUUUAUUUCUGAAAGAAUCUUCUCCUUUCUUCAGUUUUUGUUUUGCCAUGUGCCAUAGAUUUGAGUUAGAUGUCAAAUCCUCAUGAAUUUGACAUACCGUAUUAGUAUACUGCAGUAAAACACGGAGCCAUGGAAGGCCACAAUUGAGAUUAACUCUCAGAAAAAACUGAAUGUUAAUGCAGAUUACACAUUUGUAGGAAAGGAAACAAAAAAAAUGGAACCCUAUUUAGUAUUAAACAAAAUAAUUUCCCAAUUGUCCAAGUACCAGGAGAUUUUUAUUGUUUAAUAGUCAUUUUUGCUAAUCUUUAUCACAGGUUCUAAUCAUACCAUAAUCUGGGCAGCAGAAGCAGUGGUAGAUGAUUCAUGUGGAUUACUCCUUAGGUUAAGUCUUUGAAGCUGUCAUUGCACCCUCUCAUCCAGGGUAAGAGCAGAGUAACCUCCAUCUCCAUCAUCCUCUCAUCCAGGGUUAUAGCAGAGCAACCUCCAUCUCCAUCAUCCUUUCAUCCAGGGUUAUAGCAGAUCAACCUCCAUCUCCAUCAUCCUCUCAUCCAAGGUUAUAGCAGAGCAACCUCCAUCUCCAUCAUCCUCUCAUCCAGGGUUAUAGCAGAGCAACCUCCAUCUCCAUCAUCCUCUCAUCCUUGGACAUGCAUCAAGAACAUUACAAGGAUAACCUGCAGAUAAACACAAAAUACAUUACAGAACAUUACAAGGAUAACCUGCAGAUAAACACAAAAUACAUUACAGAUUUAUAUUAAAUACACUAUAGCAUUUCAUGCUUGGGGUCUUGCUGCCCUCCAAGUAAUGUCAAUACUUAGUAAUUCAUUAGGUAAAUACCGGCUUGUGUACAGAGUGAAACAAGGCAAAUCUCAAAUAUGUGUAACAAACAAGUAAGUAAUUAAUUAUCAGUUCUCAUAUUUUAAUAUGUGUAGUUGGAUGCUUUUCAUGUGCAUUAUCAUAUUGAUUUAAGAAGUACUUUUUAUAUUGUUCAUUUCUAGGGUGGAAAUGUACAGGACAUCCGGAGCCUGAAAACAAGAUGUUUAGAAACCUAUUCUUAGCCCAUUCUCGCAACCCAAGCCAUGUUACUUGUGGUGUGAAGCCAUGUUACCUUUUUUUUAAAUGUGUGGUAUCAAAACAACUGAUUGAGUGAUUGAUAGAGACAGCGAGCAGGUGUGGCCAACCAGCAAACAG
Molecule: long non-coding RNA, 2600 nt
Organism: Esox lucius (northern pike)
Lineage: Eukaryota; Metazoa; Chordata; Actinopteri; Esociformes; Esocidae
Source: Ensembl